This 483-nucleotide ribosomal RNA is filed under the name uncultured Eubacteriales bacterium. RNAcentral describes it as "uncultured Clostridiales bacterium partial 16S ribosomal RNA". Lineage: Bacteria; Bacillati; Bacillota; Clostridia; Eubacteriales. The record is from RNAcentral.
CACGUAGUUAGCCGGGGCUUCUUCUGCAGGUACCGUCAUCUUCGUCCCUGCUGAUAGAGCUUUACAUACCGAAAUACUUCUUCACUCACGCGGCGUCGCUGCAUCAGGGUUCCCCCCAUUGUGCAAUAUUCCCCACUGCUGCCUCCCGCAGGAGUCUGGGCCGUGUCUCAGUCCCAAUGUGGCCGGUCGCCCUCUCAGGCCGGCUACCGAUCGUCGCCUUGGUGGGCCGUUACCCCUCCAACUAGCUAAUCGGACGCGGAUUCAUCCUACACCGAUAAAUCUUUCCCUGUUCUCUCAUGCGAGAAUACAGUCUAUGCGGUAUUAGCAGCCGUUUCCGGCUGUUAUCCCCCUGUGUAGGGCAGAUUAUCCACGCGUUACUCACCCGUCCGCCACUUGAUAAGAAAUGCAAGCAUCUCUUAUCCCGUUCGACUUGCAUGUGUUAGGCACGCCGCCAGCGUUCAUCCUGAGCCAGGAUCAAACUCU